UACGAACGCUGGCGGCGUGCCUAAUACAUGCAAGUCGAACGCUUCUUUUCCCACCGGAGCUUGCUCCACCGGGAAAAGAGGAGUGGCGAACGGGUGAGUAACACGUGGGUAACCUGCCCAUCAGAAGGGGAUAACACUUGGAAACAGGUGCUAAUACCGUAUAACAAUCGAAACCGCAUGGUUUCGUUUUGAAAGGCGCUUUACGGUGCCGCUGAUGGAUGGACCCGCGGUGCAUUAGCUAGUUGGUGAGGUAACGGCUCACCAAGGCCACGAUGCAUAGCCGACCUGAGAGGGUGAUCGGCCACAUUGGGACUGAGACACGGCCCAAACUCCUACGGGAGGCAGCAGUAGGGAAUCUUCGGCAAUGGACGAAAGUCUGACCGAGCAACGCCGCGUGAGUGAAGAAGGUUUUCGGAUCGUAAAACUCUGUUGUUAGAGAAGAACAAGGGUGAGAGUAUCUGUUCACCCCUUGACGGUAUCUAACCAGAAAGCCACGGCUAACUACGUGACAGCAGCCGCCGUAA
Molecule: ribosomal RNA, 524 nt
Filed under: uncultured bacterium
Lineage: Bacteria
Description: partial 16S ribosomal RNA
Rfam family: Bacterial small subunit ribosomal RNA
Source: RNAcentral